AACGAACGCUGGCGGCAUGCCUAACACAUGCAAGUCGAACGAGACCUUCGGGUCUAGUGGCGCACGGGUGCGUAACGCGUGGGAACCUGCCCUUAGGUUCGGAAUAACUCCCCGAAAGGGGUGCUAAUACCGGAUAAUGUCUUCGGACCAAAGAUUUAUCGCCUUUGGAUGGGCCCGCGUUGGAUUAGCUAGUUGGUAGGGUAAAAGCCUACCAAGGCGACGAUCCAUAGCUGGUCUGAGAGGAUGAUCAGCCACACUGGGACUGAGACACGGCCCAGACUCCUACGGGAGGCAGCAGUGGGGAAUAUUGGAAAAUGGGCGAAAGCCUGAUCAAGCAAUGCCGCGUGAGUGAUGAAGGCCUUAGGGUUGUAAAGCUCUUUUACCCGGGAUGAUAAUGACAGUACCGGGAGAAUAAGCUCCGGCUAACUCCGUG
Molecule: ribosomal RNA, 433 nt
Filed under: uncultured bacterium
Lineage: Bacteria
Description: partial 16S ribosomal RNA
Rfam family: Bacterial small subunit ribosomal RNA
Source: RNAcentral